UCCCCUCCUCCCUUUCACUUAACCCGAUUCCUCACCUCUAACCCGAUAAAACAAUAACAAACAAUGGCUUCAAUUUCAAUAGCUUCAGCUGUGUACAACAACACUCCAACAACAACAAAACCAUCGAACAACAGCUUCAAUCAAUGUACAACCUGAUACCAACCCGUCAACCCAACUUCACCAAUGACAAAACCCGAUAUCAACAGGUCAAGUGACCCAACAAAAAUUCAAAACCUAAAAAUUCUCAAUUCGUACCAUUAUUGUACGAAUCCUGCUAAUCCCAAACUUAUCCCAUUCUUGAAUUCAAAUUUCCACAUAGAAAUUUUUGAAAUUACCCUGGAUUUCUUUGACUCAAACAUCAAAAAUCUAUUCCCAAAGCCCUCAAUUGCAUUUCUAUAAAUACGGGGUAGUCAUUGUCAGGAAAAAACCCCAUUGUAAAGGAUUUUUCCGUUAGUAAAGGUUUUCAAAACCAAAAGGUCCUAUAAGACUCCUUGAGCUUAGAUUUUGGGAAAGGAAACACAAAGCUUCCCGACGGUGGUGAAGCGAUCCCGAUCAAAGCUCGUCGUCUCGAUUUUGCUACCCCAAAAAAGGUAAACUCACCCUUUUUUCCCAUUCGUUAGUUAUUUCGUCUUCUUCAUCUUCUUUUUAUGAGUAGCAGUUUGUCGUAAUCGUAGUUAUGAUGGGACUAUGUGUUAUAUAAACCUAGGUUUUUAUUUUUGUUGUUUCAUUGGUGUAAAUACAUCCUGUUUUGUUAAUGUUAUUUUCCAUCGAUUUAUUAUGUAGUUGUUAGAAUAAUGGUUUUGUUGCUGUAGAUUUUGGUUUCUUCUUCCUUUCUUUGUAUUAAAUCCUUGUUUUGUGAUGUUUGAUAGAAAAGGUUCAUUGGAAUUGAAAAGAGAAUGCUUUGAAUUGGUUUAAGUAUGGUACUAUCUUUUUAUUACAAAUCCGACCUUUAUUGGUUCAUGAAUUUAAAAAUCUAUUAUUUCUCUUUUCCUUCAAAAGUUGUCUUUUGGAGUCUAUUAUUAUCGUUUUGUGUCGAUUCUUCUUUUGAAUUUUCUUUCGAGUAUGAGUUCUAAUCACUCUAUCUCACUGUUAUGAUUUCAUGUUUUUAUUUUCUCUUUUAUUUGAUUAUUUAGAAUCCACAUUCACGAUAUUACUCAUUAGUACUACUUUUGUUUGUCUCAUGUUGGCCUGUGUCUAGAAAAUGCUACAAUAGUUGAUAAAAGACUCAAGUUUAAAAUACGAGAUUUUCAUCCAUUUCUUGUGUUGUGUAACCAAAAGGCUAAAUAGAAAAUGACCUCAUUGAUUAAGAAACAGAAACUCUAGAACUGGAAUUUGGUUUCUGUCUAGUUUAACUCUGUACUGCUGCAAUUUUUGUUGGAUAAUAUUGCACUAGGACGAGUGUAAAUUGAGUGAUAUGGAUAUUGAGUAGUCAUAUAGUUGAUUCAAACUUGUCUGGAAUUAAGACAUAGUAUAAAUUAUCUGGAAUUGUUAUAUGUAAUCUGUUUCAUUCGUGUUUUACUGUUUUGCUUCUAAUUUUUAUAUGGAUUAAGCUCUUAAUGCCUAUUUUUAUGGAUUAGUUCAUAGGUUGAAAUAUGUUGCGAUAUUGUGAACUAGUGCUGGGAUGGUUGAGGCUGCCAUUGUGUUCUUUUUCCGUUUGCUUUCUUAGAUUCAUCACCUUAUAUAUCAAAGUAGUUCCUCUAAAGUAGACAAACUUUUAUCGGUCAAGAGAUAACCGUUUACUGCUUCCUUUUCCGUAAUUAAAAGUUGUCUGUGAGGUUAAAACUGUUAAUGUGUAUUCGUAAUCCAACAGGCGUUUCAUUAUUUCUCAAUACUAAAUGAGGACCUAUUGAGCAAAAAAAUUAGCUUACUUUUGGGGUUUUUUUUAGCAAUCCCUGGAAAGUGAGUUCAGAAGAAUGAAAAUUCAUCUUAUAAUUUUGGUGCAUCCUAGGACCAUUUAGUUUAACUAUUCUUGUUUGAAUUUCUGGUUGAGAUGUUGUAAACAUUCCUUCAAGUAUUCGAAUUUAUGGUAACACGACAUUUUAUUUAUUUAUUUAUUUUUAUUUUUAUUUAUUUAUGUAUGUAUUUUGCUGUUGUUUUGUUUUGUUUUGACAGUAUUGUUAAUUUGUUUGUUUAAGCCAACUGCACUUUGACACAUUUUCAGCUUUGAUAUAUCAAAUGAUGUUAUACUUAGUUUUACUUUGUAGAUUAAGGAUUUACUAACAUUUUAUUUACAAUUACUAUUCAAAAAUUUUAGUGUCUUGAUUCAUGGAAGAUGAAGUUAGAAUGAGUAUUUUGAUCUAAUUUACUUUCUAUACUUUCUAUACAUGAAUGGGUAACUAAUUUUUCUCUCGUGUUUGCAUGUGAAACCAAUUUCAAUCAAUUCGGACUCCUCGCUCUCUCGCUUCUAUCAUCCUUGAGUUAAAAGUCUCAUACAAGUCCACAAUGGACUAAUACAUGAAGAAACAGGACUGAUAUAUACGCAGAUAUACAGUAGUAUACAGCAGUGAAUGAAGGGAAGGAAUGAAGACACCAAUUUUAUACGCUGAUAUACAGUGUUGUAUACAAAAACGCAGCAGCAACAACGUUGAUAUACAGUCAGUAUACAGCUGAUAUACAGAGAUGAAAAUGGACCAAAGUCCAUAAAAGGUAAGGCCCAAAACCUGGGCAGAUUUGAAAAUGGGCUAGAAAGGGGCUCAAAUCUCAUCUUUCUCCUUUAUUUAUUUGUAUUUAAUUUGAUUAUUUGUUUGUAAUUUUAUCUAAUUUAGAUGAAUCCUCAGGGAGCAAGUUUACAUUAAGAUUAUUCAUUUUAUUUAUUAAUUUUUUUAUUUCCACAAAACAGCUGCAGCUCCCAUGUUUUUCCCCCCUAUUGAAACAAACAAUUUUCCCCUUUACUGAGCAUAAAGAAGAGGCUAGAGCAUCAAUGCUUUCUAAAAUAUAUUUAUGAAGAGCACAUAUAAGGUAAAUGUAACCAACUAACGUUCACGAAACCCACGACUACUGCCCCUUGACCGGCUGAUGUUGGCGACGGCGUCGGAGGGUCGGUAACAGGCAAUAAUAACCCUCACUCCCUCUUUCUUUUUCCCCAGUUCUCUUUACCCUCUUCUCUCUCCCAUUCCCUGUGCCUCUCCGUCGUUCGAACCACUUGUUGCUUUCGUCGGCGAUCAAAGUCGCCGUUGGCUAGACUCCGGUGACACAGAUAGUGCGCAGCUUUGGUCACACGCGAUCGAUUCGACGGGUCCAUCUGAUGGUACUGUUGAUUUCGAACAGAUCUGAUUCCCAUAAGUUUUGAUUUCGGAGGCACUCCGGUGAAGCUCCGGUCAUAAUACCAAGCGUAACUCGGUGACUUCUAACCUUUGCUAUUUCAUUCUUCGUAUAAAUUCUAGUUUUAUCUUCUGUAUCUUGACUUGCGCUUAAUUUGCUGGGAUUGUCUGUUGUUGUGUAUUUUCGGUUUAAUCCAUUGCUUGACUUAGUUAUAAUUUGUGGGUUUGACAUUUUCUUUAUUAUUACAUAUAAUGUGCUUGUGCCUUGUAUUUUCUUCUGUUG
Molecule: long non-coding RNA, 3543 nt
Filed under: Capsicum annuum
Lineage: Eukaryota; Viridiplantae; Streptophyta; Magnoliopsida; Solanales; Solanaceae
Description: long non-coding RNA (CANN_LNC014099)
Source: RNAcentral